This 388-nucleotide unclassified non-coding RNA is filed under the name fungal sp. RNAcentral describes it as "partial internal transcribed spacer region". The stretch from base 1 to 46 matches the Rfam family "Eukaryotic small subunit ribosomal RNA", at positions 1786 to 1831 of the family's 1831-position model. The record is from RNAcentral. Lineage: Eukaryota; Fungi.
AAGUCGUAACAAGGUUUCCGUAGGUGAACCUGCGGAAGGAUCAUUAACACGUAUCCACGUAUCAACCAACCGCGCACUUGUUUUCACCCUCCCUGUUCCCUGCACAUGAAUUGGUAAGAUAAGACUUGUUUGAGUGGGAUCCUUCGGGGUCGCAAGAAUUAUCCCAUAUUACAAUUGGAGUGCAGACGCAGGCAAAAUUUGCUCGCAGGAGCGAAUCUCCAUUCAAGAUUCAACCUGUGGGUCCACUAUUAACACAUUUCACCGCCUUUUUGCUAGUUGACUUUUUUUAUGUGGAUCUCGCUAUAGCAUUAAUUUACUACACGGUGUCACACGUUUAAUUAUUUGAACGUUAAAAAUACAACUCUUAGCAAUGGAUAUCUUGGUUCUC